CUCAGAGGAAGAGGGCGGGCUUUACUUGGUGUCAGUGAGAGAAAUGAAAAAAAGCUGAAAUGAGUGAGAAGGACGAUGAAGGAAACAUCUGUGCUGUGUCUGCUCUGUAAGUAGAAUCUCUGUGUUUGUUUGAAUUCUUGUACUUUGACUGUCUGCUCUCCUGAUAACUGAUGAUGGAGGAGAAGACAUGAAGAACAAAUCAGGCUGAAUUCAAGUUCAAAACACCACGAGGACCAACUGCAGGUCUGAACUGACUCUUUAUCUUUGCUCAGGAGUCGAGGAAACACAGCAGGCAGUGAAAAGCUCAAAUCAUUCACUCAUUAUAUCAACACAGCUGAGAGUUUGAAACAUGGAAUUUAACAUUUUCAUCCAUUUAGUCAACUAUAACUGCCUUUAAAUUUUUAGUGCUGCACAAAGUGACCGUUAGUGUUUGUGGUUGAGCUGUUUGUGGUUUAAACAGAAACUAAAGGAGCUCAAUUUUUCUUUUUCUGGGGGACAGAAGAAAGAAGUUGCAGGCGUUUCCUCACAGGGUUGUUAAUCUUAUAAGGGGAAGUAACAUGUCUGUGACCACAGGCAAUGAAUCUAAAGCAGUUUGAUUAAAAAACAUCUUUUAAACACCAUUAAUAAAUACAUGAAGUUAAUUUAAACCAGUGAUCACUGCUCCUUUUGACGGACUUCACUCAUUUUUAUGAAUGGAUUUGACUUCAGUGACACCGGAUCCCGUCAGAAACAGGAAAAUGAAAUAUCAGAAACUAUCUAAACAUUUACAGGUUGUUUAUUCCUCUUUAAAUAAAACUCCAACCUUCGUAAUGAAAUCACGUUUUCCUUUUUAUUUUAUUAGGAGAAAAAUAUUUCAUUUAUCUUAAAUGUAAUAUUGUAAUUUUACUCAGUUACUGUAACUCAGUACUUUUACUCUGCUUUUCUAGUCUAUUCACUGACAUCUUAAUCCUGUGUUCUCCUGAGCUUGAACCUGAACGUCAGACCAACCAUUGACUGCAGGAGACAUGAGCCUCAGACCAGCUCACCAUCACUAUCUUCAUCAUCAUCAUCAUCAUCAGCCCAGAACACUGUUACAGCGAAGUCUGGACAGGACGUAGUUCUACCAUGUCGAGUAUCACCAGACAAAACCAUCAGAGCUGUGAAGUGGAGCAGAGCUGACCUGGGAGAUGAAUAUGUGCUUUUGUACCGGGAUGAGCAGCUGGAUCCAGAAAACCAGCAUCCAUCUUUUAAGAACCGGGUGGAUCUGCAGGACAGGAAGAUGAAUAAUGGAGACGUGUCUCUGGUUCUGAAGAAUGUGACGACUGCUGAUGAUGGAUCAUACAAUUGUAAUAUUUUCAACGGAGGGACAAGGUCAUGGGAGUGCAUCAACACCGUCAGCCUGACUGUUUCAGGUCAGACAGCAGAACUCACAGUUGCACCUGUUGGACUCAUCGCUGGUCUGAGUGUUCCUGCUGUGGUUCUUGUUGCUGCUGUUAGUUUUGUGUGCUACAGAAAACAUAAACAACAGAACCGGGAUUUUAACUAGCAUCCUCAUGAACAGCAGGUUUCAAAUGUCUCUACGGUUUAGUAUGUGUAAACUAACAAAACACUAAACUUACAAAACAACACUGGUUUAAAAACUAAUUGUUUAAUUUAAUCCUGGAUCACACUACAUGACAUCACUACAGAGUGCAGACAAAUGAUGCAUCGUUUACCCGAAUCGCUAUAAUUCAGAGAAAUCCUGGAAAAAAAAUAUUAGGACAUAAUAAUUGACAAGUUUCACCUGCUCUAUGUGUAACUCAAUGACCUCUAACACCUGAAAUCCUUUAUUGUAUGAAGGUAAAAUAUUGUGUACCUUUAAUAUUCAUCAUCUAUCCAGAUCUAUCACAGUGACAUGGAACGACCCACUGUAUUAUAAAGCCUUUCCAUUUAAUGUAUUAUAAAGGUGGAGGUGUUGCUCUUCCAUCGCUGUCACUGGCAGAUCUGAGUGAAUACUGACCUUAAAAGUGAAGGUGAACCCUGUUUGAAUGACAGCAUGUUGUUUACCAGUUCAUUAAUAUUAGUGAAUGACUCUGGGGCAGGGAUGUCAAACUGGUUUUACAUCAUGGGCCACAUUAAACUCCCCACGAUGUAAAGUAGUUUAAGUGCACGUUCAAUCUGACAUAUCUCUGUGUAAGAAGGAGAACUGCAACUUUAUCAGCACCUCUGAGUUUUCUCUAAUAUAUUUCUGUACUUGAUGGUGAAAAAACAGGAACUUUCUGUAACUUAACAGCCUGUUUAUUGUUUAUUUACUUUGGUGUCGUAUGAAUCACCUUUGACGAGGUCGUCAGCUGAAAAGCAGCAAAGCUGCAUUUUCCAAAGCCACCCAGUGGGGAUAUUAGAACAUGUUUCUUCCCCAAUAGCAGCUAAGUUUAUUAUUUAUUCAUUAUCAUAGAAACAUUAUAGCAGGUUAUGAUAUGGAUGUGUUACUCAGAGAAUUGAAUUUGUAACCUCUGACCUUUGUGAAGCUUUUCAGCUUAAAAUGCCAGAACGACCAGACACUAAAGACAAACCCACUGCGUAAAGGAAACUUUACUACACUAUGUAAGGAGCAGAAGACACUAAAAUACUAAAUUAAAACUAAAACAUUUUUAUGCUAUACCAUUAAAAACUGACGUUGCACAUGUCAGCUGAUCGUUUUAUAAUUUUUAGUUUGUCAUAGAGACAAAAAGUGAGGGAGCAUUUAGAGCAGAACAUCCUAACAGGAAGUUCAACUCUGUGGUUUUACAGUUACGCUGUGUUCAACUGUGAAUAGUUCAAAGCAAAGGAGGAGUGAUGUCAGUGUAGCUUAGAGGAAGUCUGAAAUAGUCGACAGCCAGGAUCACAAACACUACACAGUUUCUGAUUCCAUCCUUUUCCUGUAAGUAACUAGUUAAUGUAACUCUUCUUUCUAGGUAACAAUUUGAUGUCAAACGUGACUCGUGUGAGCAAAGUAAAGGCUUUUCAAACUAUUUUCUAUCCGUCCGUCCAUCUAGUGGCUCUAAGUGCUCACUGCAGUUGUUCGUAACUUCAAACAUUAAAAAAUGCAUUUAUUACACAUCACUACACUAACAGACUAACUAACCGCUUGAAGAGAUGAGUGGUGAUCCUCUCAGCAGACUGAGGGACGAACACAUUAAACCAGGUCAAAUAUCCACGUUCAUGUUUAAAUACUGCAGAACUUUGGUGCAAACAGCAGUAACAUCAGUGAUGAUGGUGAUACGACAGGGAGUAAACAAACCACUAAAUGGGACUAAAUGGGACCAGUGAGGAAGUGUCAGUACAAUAAAAAGAUGCACAAAAGAAAUGAUGGAGUAAAAAAACUGUUUUAAAAGGAAAACACAAGAAGUCUGAUGUGUUUUGUUCUUUCAGGUCAGGAGAUCAUACACGUGGAUAGAUUUUUUUUAAUCUAAACAUAUUUACUUUGUACACAGGAACAUGUGAGAUAUGAAAAAUGUUCAAAGUAAAUAGUUUUGACUCAUAUUUGUUGAUUGAUUUAUGACUGGCUGCUGCAGUCUGGAGCAUGAAUGUGAUUUUUGUUUAUAUGUAUGAUAAACUGGAAUGUUCACUUGUUAAUGCUUUUCUGCAAUGUGCUGCACUACAGAAAUAAAAGUAAUAUUUGAAAAUC
Oreochromis aureus is the source of this 3625-nucleotide long non-coding RNA. The record is from Ensembl. NCBI's taxonomy places the organism in Eukaryota, Metazoa, Chordata, Actinopteri, Cichliformes, Cichlidae.